UACGUAGGUGGCAAGCGUUGUCCGGAUUUAUUGGGCUUAAAGGGUGCGUAGGCGGUGUCCUAAGUCUGUUGUGAAAUACGGCAGCUUAACUGUCGAGGUGCAAUUGAUACUGGGAUACUUGAGUACUGAUGAGGUAUGCGGAAUGGACGGUGUAGCGGUGAAAUGCUUAGAUAUCGUCCAGAACACCGAUAGCGAAGGCAGCAUACUAAGGAGUAACUGACGCUGAGGCACGAAAGUGUGGGGAUCAAACAGG
RNAcentral lists this ribosomal RNA (253 nucleotides) under uncultured bacterium. Its description in RNAcentral is "partial 16S ribosomal RNA". It matches the Rfam family "Bacterial small subunit ribosomal RNA", at positions 524 to 776 of the family's 1533-position model. The record is from RNAcentral.